AACGAACGCUGGCGGCAGGCCUAACACAUGCAAGUCGAACGCUGUAGCAAUACAGAGUGGCAGACGGGUGAGUAACGCGUGGGAACAUACCCUUCGGUUCGGAAUAACUCAGGGAAACUUGAGCUAAUACCGGAUACGUGCGAGAGCAGAAAGAUUCAUCGCCGAAGGAUUGGCCCGCGUUCGAUUAGCUUGUUGGUGAGGUAAUGGCUCACCAAGGCGACGAUCGAUAGCUGGUCUGAGAGGAUGAUCAGCCACAUUGGGACUGAGACACGGCCCAAACUCCUACGGGAGGCAGCAGUGGGGAAUAUUGGACAAUGGGCGAAAGCCUGAUCCAGCCAUGCCGCGUGAGUGAUGAAGGCCCUAGGGUUGUAAAGCUCUUUCGUCAGGGACGAUAAUGACGGUACCUGAAGAAGAAG
RNAcentral lists this ribosomal RNA (416 nucleotides) under uncultured bacterium. Its description in RNAcentral is "bacterial SSU rRNA". It matches the Rfam family "Bacterial small subunit ribosomal RNA", at positions 29 to 490 of the family's 1533-position model. The record is from RNAcentral.